CCUACGGGUGGCAGCAGUGAGGAAUAUUGGUCAAUGGACGAGAGUCUGAACCAGCCAAGUAGCGUGAAGGAUGACUGCCCUAUGGGUUGUAAACUUCUUUUAUAUGGGAAUAAAACGUUCCACGUGUGGGAUUUUGUAUGUACCAUAUGAAUAAGGAUCGGCUAACUCCGUGCCAGCAGCCGCGGUAAUACGGAGGGUCCGAGCGUUAUCCGGGUUUAUUGGGUUUAAAGGGAGCGUAGGUGGAUUGUUAAGUCAGUUGUGAAAGUUUGCGGCUUAACCGUAAAAUUGCAGUUGAAACUGGCAGUCUUGAGUACAGUAGAGGUGGGCGGAAUUCGUGGUGUAGCGGUGAAAUGCUUAGAUAUCACGAAGAACUCCGAUUGCGAAGGCAGUUCACUGGACUGCAACUGACACUGAGGCUCGAAAGUGUGGGUAUCAAACAGGAUUAGAUACCCCAGUAGUC
Molecule: ribosomal RNA, 460 nt
Filed under: uncultured bacterium
Lineage: Bacteria
Description: partial 16S ribosomal RNA
Rfam family: Bacterial small subunit ribosomal RNA
Source: RNAcentral